RNAcentral lists this unclassified non-coding RNA (269 nucleotides) under uncultured fungus. RNAcentral describes it as "sequence contains ITS1, 5.8S rRNA gene". The stretch from base 221 to 269 matches the Rfam family "5.8S ribosomal RNA", at positions 1 to 49 of the family's 154-position model. The record is from RNAcentral. Lineage: Eukaryota; Fungi.
UCUCCGUUGGUGAACCAGCGGAGGGAUCAUUACAGAGUUAUCUAACUCCCAAACCCAUGUGAACUUACCAUUUGUUGCCUCGGCAGAGCCUACCCGGUAACUGUUCGGAGAAGCUACCCUGUAGCUACCCUGUAACGGCCUACCCUGUAACGCACUGCCGGUGGACUUUUAAACUUUUUUUAUUUUAUAGUAUUCUGAGCGUCUUAUUUUAAUAAGUAAAAACUUUCAACAACGGAUCUCUUGGUUCUGGCAUCGAUAAAGAACGCAGC